UGAGGAAUUUUGCGCAAUGGGCGAAAGCCUGACGCAGCAACGCCGCGUGUGCGAAGAAGGCCUUCGGGUUGUAAAGCACUUUCGGGAGGGAAGAAGGAUGCACGGUAAACAAUCGUGCAUCUUGACGGUACCUCAAGAAGAAGCUCCGGCUAACUCCGUGCCAGCAGCCGCGGUAAUACGGAGGGAGCAAGCGUUAUUCGGAAUUACUGGGCGUAAAGCGCGCGUAGGCGGCUUUUCAAGUCGGGAGUGAAAUCCCACGGCUCAACCGUGGAACUGCUUUCGAAACUGGAGAGCUAGAGGAUGAGAGGGGAAGGCGGAAUUCCAGGUGUAGCGGUGAAAUGCACAGAUAUCUGGAGGAACACCAGCGGCGAAGGCGGCCUUCUGGAUCAUACCUGACGCUGAGGCGCGAAAGCGUGGGGAGCAAACAGG
Molecule: ribosomal RNA, 429 nt
Filed under: uncultured bacterium
Lineage: Bacteria
Description: bacterial SSU rRNA
Rfam family: Bacterial small subunit ribosomal RNA
Source: RNAcentral